CCUAACCCCUGGAACCUAUGGAGGUAACUUCCUUUGGAUAAAAAGUUCUUUGCAAAUGUAAUGUAAGGAUCUUGAGGUCAAAUCAUCCAGGAUUUAGCCGGGCACCGUAGAUCCAAGGACACCUGAAGAAGAGGAGAGGACACACAGACCCAGAGGAAAAGGUUAUGUGAAGAUGGAGUCAGGAAUUGAUGAGCACCACAAGCCAAGGUACAGCAAAGAUGGCCAGCAGCCACCAGAAGCUAAGAGAGAGGCAUGGAACAUGUUCUCCCUCAGAGCCUACAGAAGGAGCCAGCCCUGACAACACCUUCACUUUGGACUUCUGGCCUCCACCAAAUGAGAGAAUAAGUUUCUGUUGUUUUCCGCCACCCAGUUUGUUAAUUUGUUAUGGCAACGCCACGAAACUAGGAGAGUAUAAUUUGGAAAAGAUCUUUAAGAUCCGCCACCCAGUUUGUUAAUUUGUUAUGGCAACGCCAGGAAACUAGGCACCAGCCCUUUCACCUGAUGUCAGAGCAGCACAGCUGAAAGCUGUAACCUGGGUGAGGUGGAGGGCGACUAGCAGGCAUGCGCAGGUGAGAUCCCCUGGGGCAGGCCUUGAAGGGCCAAGGUGGGGCAUGGCUCGCUUUGGCUGUUUUGGUUUUCAAAAUGUUUAAAUGCUGAAAGUUCAUGUUGGUAGUUGGCAUGUAAGGAUCUUAAUUUGUUCUGUUCAUUGCAAAAAAAAU
This 719-nucleotide long non-coding RNA is filed under the name Homo sapiens (human). RNAcentral describes it as "HSALNT0031707". Lineage: Eukaryota; Metazoa; Chordata; Mammalia; Primates; Hominidae. The record is from RNAcentral.